Molecule: ribosomal RNA, 1423 nt
Filed under: Lactiplantibacillus plantarum
Lineage: Bacteria; Bacillati; Bacillota; Bacilli; Lactobacillales; Lactobacillaceae
Description: bacterial SSU rRNA
Rfam family: Bacterial small subunit ribosomal RNA
Source: RNAcentral
GCAGUCGAACGAACUCUGGUAUUGAUUGGUGCUUGCAUCAUGAUUUACAUUUGAGUGAGUGGCGAACUGGUGAGUAACACGUGGGAAACCUGCCCAGAAGCGGGGGAUAACACCUGGAAACAGAUGCUAAUACCGCAUAACAACUUGGACCGCAUGGUCCGAGCUUGAAAGAUGGCUUCGGCUAUCACUUUUGGAUGGUCCCGCGGCGUAUUAGCUAGAUGGUGGGGUAACGGCUCACCAUGGCAAUGAUACGUAGCCGACCUGAGAGGGUAAUCGGCCACAUUGGGACUGAGACACGGCCCAAACUCCUACGGGAGGCAGCAGUAGGGAAUCUUCCACAAUGGACGAAAGUCUGAUGGAGCAACGCCGCGUGAGUGAAGAAGGGUUUCGGCUCGUAAAACUCUGUUGUUAAAGAAGAACAUAUCUGAGAGUAACUGUUCAGGUAUUGACGGUAUUUAACCAGAAAGCCACGGCUAACUACGUGCCAGCAGCCGCGGUAAUACGUAGGUGGCAAGCGUUGUCCGGAUUUAUUGGGCGUAAAGCGAGCGCAGGCGGUUUUUUAAGUCUGAUGUGAAAGCCUUCGGCUCAACCGAAGAAGUGCAUCGGAAACUGGGAAACUUGAGUGCAGAAGAGGACAGUGGAACUCCAUGUGUAGCGGUGAAAUGCGUAGAUAUAUGGAAGAACACCAGUGGCGAAGGCGGCUGUCUGGUCUGUAACUGACGCUGAGGCUCGAAAGUAUGGGUAGCAAACAGGAUUAGAUACCCUGGUAGUCCAUACCGUAAACGAUGAAUGCUAAGUGUUGGAGGGUUUCCGCCCUUCAGUGCUGCAGCUAACGCAUUAAGCAUUCCGCCUGGGGAGUACGGCCGCAAGGCUGAAACUCAAAGGAAUUGACGGGGGCCCGCACAAGCGGUGGAGCAUGUGGUUUAAUUCGAAGCUACGCGAAGAACCUUACCAGGUCUUGACAUACUAUGCAAAUCUAAGAGAUUAGACGUUCCCUUCGGGGACAUGGAUACAGGUGGUGCAUGGUUGUCGUCAGCUCGUGUCGUGAGAUGUUGGGUUAAGUCCCGCAACGAGCGCAACCCUUAUUAUCAGUUGCCAGCAUUAAGUUGGGCACUCUGGUGAGACUGCCGGUGACAAACCGGAGGAAGGUGGGGAUGACGUCAAAUCAUCAUGCCCCUUAUGACCUGGGCUACACACGUGCUACAAUGGAUGGUACAACGAGUUGCGAACUCGCGAGAGUAAGCUAAUCUCUUAAAGCCAUUCUCAGUUCGGAUUGUAGGCUGCAACUCGCCUACAUGAAGUCGGAAUCGCUAGUAAUCGCGGAUCAGCAUGCCGCGGUGAAUACGUUCCCGGGCCUUGUACACACCGCCCGUCACACCAUGAGAGUUUGUAACACCCAAAGUCGGUGGGGUAACCUUUUAGA